GACGAACGCUGGCGGCGUGCCUAACACAUGCAAGUCGAACGAGGUCCAAGGGAGCUUGCUCCCUGAAGACCUAGUGGCGAACGGGUGAGUAACACGUGAGAAACCUGCCCUCGAGUGGGGAAUAACCCGGGGAAACCCGGGCUAAUACCGCAUACGCUCCUCUGGUCGCAUGGCCGGAGGAGGAAAGUUUUUCGCUCAAGGAGGGUCUCGCGGCGUAUCAGCUUGUUGGCGGGGUAACAGCCCACCAAGGCUCCGACGGGUAGCUGGUUUGAGAUAACGAUCCGGCACCCUGGGACUGUGACACGGCCCGGGCUCCUACGGGAGGCAGCAGUGGGGAAUCUUGCGCAAUGAGCGAAGGCCUGACGCAGCAACGCCGCGUGCGGGAUGACGGCCUUCGUGGUUGUAAACCGCUUUCAGCAGGAACGAAAAUGACGUUACCUGCAGAAGAAGGUGCGGCCAACUACGUGCCAGCCGCCGCCGUAA
RNAcentral lists this ribosomal RNA (483 nucleotides) under uncultured bacterium. RNAcentral's name for it is "partial 16S ribosomal RNA". It matches the Rfam family "Bacterial small subunit ribosomal RNA", at positions 28 to 523 of the family's 1533-position model. The record is from RNAcentral.